GCACUAAUAUAAAUUAUUGUAGAGUUAAAUAAGAGAGUUUUAUUAGUUGAAGGGAGUUGUUAUUUAUUGUGUUGAGCUUUGAACUCAAUUCUAGUCUAGAGUAUUGAGUUAUAUUGUGUAGGCUGUUGUAUCCUGGAAGGGACAAGUCAAAGAGUAUUACUGCUGGAUUGGUGAAAUAAUUUCUGCAGUGGGCUUGAAUCUCCUUAAAGAGAGAGGCCUCAGCCAUAGAAGAAGAAUAUAUUUUUCUUUAUUCAUUGUAAUUUUCAGUUGUAAUCAAUUGUAAUAUCACUACAAUUUUAUUGAGAUUUUCACCAACAAUUUUUAAGGAGAUUCAAAUGGCAAUAACUGAAAAUUUCGCAGAUGUCAAGAUGGGAGAUCUUAACAAGCCAUUCUGGUUCAACGGUACUCACUUCAAGAGGUGGAAGGGUAAAGUGUUUUUCUAAUUAAGUCUUCCCAAUGUUUUUCUGCGUUAACUGAGGAAGAAUCCAAAUAAAGUAGAUAACUCUUCCAUGACUGACGACGAACUUAUCUCUCUUGAAGAGAAAGUUGAAAAAUACAACAGUGACUCCUACAAAUGUCGUUAUUUUUUACUUAAUUGUCUAUCUGAUAAUUUUUAUGAUUAUUAUGAUAGAACUUACUCUAGUGCAAAGAAAAUUUGAAAAGUCUUGCAGAAUAAGUAUGACACUGAGGAGAUAGGAGUGAAGGAUAUGCAGCUAGGGGACAAGAUGCUCUUAUGCAAACAGAAGAGAACAAAAUCACACCGAAGGUAAAUUUAUCUUCAUAUAAUGCUACCCCUGAAAAUAACAAAAAUACUACUUUGAAGACUAAGAAGAAAAUAUUCAAGAAAAAUAAUGGUAGACAUCCCAAAAAUAAUUAUGGUGGGAACAACCAAGCAAAAAAUCAACAUGUACAACAAAAAAAAUCAUGUUUUGUCUGUGGCAAGAGUGGGCAUAUUGCUCGAUUUUGCAGGUCUCGGAAACAUGAGCAUACACCUCAGGCAAACAUUACCGAAGAAUCAUUUAUGGCGAUGAUAACAGACAUAUAUAUGGUCGUGAAUGUUGAUGGAUGGUGGACUAACUCUGGUGCAAACCGUCAUGUCUGUUACGACAAAGACUGGUUUAAAAAAUAUACAAAAUUUGAGGAGCCCAAAAUCAUCAUGCUUGAAAAUUCACACACAAGCCAAGCACUUGGAAUGGGGAUGUGGAGUUGAGAUUUACUUCUGAAAAGAUCCGUUGACUAAGGCCUUAGCAAGAGAAAAGUUCUGGAAUGCAUCGAGGGGGAUGGGAUUGAAGCCUAUUAAAUCAUUAGUUAUAUGUGAGGAAACUCAACCUGGGGACUAGAGAUCCUAUAACCAGGUUCAAUGGAAAAAACGAAUCAUCUGAUGACUUGCUGUGAAAAAUGCACUAUUUAUUUAUCCCUCCCUAUAAUGUGAGUGCAUUUGUCUGUAAUGAUUGUGAGGUUGAGUUUAUUAAACUCUUAAUGAA
Long non-coding RNA from Capsicum annuum, 1484 nucleotides. RefSeq lists it as uncharacterized. The record is from RefSeq and is a predicted model, not a curated record. Lineage: Eukaryota; Viridiplantae; Streptophyta; Magnoliopsida; Solanales; Solanaceae. The transcript is spliced from 2 exons.